AUUGAACGCUGGCGGCAGGCCUAACACGUGCAAGUCGAGCGGCAGCGGGAAAGUAGCUUGCUACUUUUGCCGGCGAGCGGCGGACGGGUGAGUAAUGCCUGGGAAAUUGCCCAGUCGAGGGGGAUAACAGUUGGAAACGACUGCUAAUACCGCAUACGCCCUACGGGGGAAAGCAGGGGGCCUUCGGGCCUUGCGCGAUUGGAUAUGCCCAGGUGGGAUUAGCUAGUUGGUGAGGUAAUGGCUCACCAAGGCGACGAUCCCUAGCUGGUCUGAGAGGAUGAUCAGCCACACUGGAACUGAGACACGGUCCAGACUCCUACGGGAGGCAGCAGUGGGGAAUAUUGCACAAUGGGGGAAACCCUGAUGCAGCCAUGCCGCGUGUGUGAAGAAGGCCUUCGGGUUGUAAAGCACUUUCAGCGAGGAGGAAAGGUUGAUGCCUAAUUCGUAUCAACUGUGACGUUACUCGCAGAAGAAGCACCGGCUAACUCCGUGCCAGCAGCCGCCGUAA
This 508-nucleotide ribosomal RNA is filed under the name uncultured bacterium. RNAcentral's name for it is "partial 16S ribosomal RNA". It matches the Rfam family "Bacterial small subunit ribosomal RNA", at positions 30 to 523 of the family's 1533-position model. The record is from RNAcentral.